CACGUAGGGCGCAAGCGUUGUCCGGAAUUAUUGGGCGUAAAGAGCUCGUAGGCGGCUUGUCACGUCUGCUGUGAAAACUCUGGGCUCAACCCAGAGCCGCCACCCGAUACUGCUGUGACUCGAGUGCGGUAGGGGAGCGGGGAAUUCCUGGUGUAGCGGUGAAAUGCGCAGAUAUCAGGAGGAACACCAGUGGCGAAGGCGCCGCUCUGGGCCGUGACUGACGCUGAGGAGCGAAAGCGUGGGUAGCAAACAGG
Molecule: ribosomal RNA, 254 nt
Filed under: uncultured bacterium
Lineage: Bacteria
Description: partial 16S ribosomal RNA
Rfam family: Bacterial small subunit ribosomal RNA
Source: RNAcentral